UGACUGAGUGAAUGCUGAGCUUGAUGCCGCGUGAGUGAAGAAGGCCUUCGGGUUGUAAAGCUCUUUCGGCCGGGAAGAAAUCGCAUAGGUUAAUACCCUGUGUGGAUGACGGUACCGGAAUAAGAAGCACCGGCUAACUACGUGCCAGCAGCCGCGGUAAUACGUAGGGUGCGAGCGUUAAUCGGAAUUACUGGGCGUAAAGCGUGCGCAGGCGGUUUCGUAAGACAGAGGUGAAAUCCCCGGGCUCAACCUGGGAACUGCCUUUGUGACUGCGAAGCUAGAGUACGGCAGAGGGGGGUGGAAUUCCACGUGUAGCAGUGAAAUGCGUAGAGAUGUGGAGGAACACCGAUGGCGAAGGCAGCCCCCUGGGCCGAUACUGACGCUCAUGCACGAAAGCGUGGGUAGCAAACAGGAUUAGAUACCCUGGUAGUCCACGCCCUAAACGAUGUCAACUAGGUGUUGGGUGGGUAAAACCAUUUAGUACCGUAGCUAACGCGUGAAGUUGACCGCCUGGGGAGUACGGCCGCAAGGUUA
Molecule: ribosomal RNA, 534 nt
Filed under: Dechloromonas sp. enrichment culture
Lineage: Bacteria; Pseudomonadati; Pseudomonadota; Betaproteobacteria; Rhodocyclales; Azonexaceae
Description: bacterial SSU rRNA
Rfam family: Bacterial small subunit ribosomal RNA
Source: RNAcentral